RNA transcript from Crotalus tigris (Tiger rattlesnake), 2950 nucleotides. It is a transcript of the gene named engulfment and cell motility 2, with no coding region annotated. The transcript has 24 exons. The record is from RefSeq and is a predicted model, not a curated record. NCBI's taxonomy places the organism in Eukaryota, Metazoa, Chordata, Lepidosauria, Squamata, Viperidae.
CGGCCUCUCCCAAUCCGCGGGAGAGGCGGGGCCGAAGAGCGGAAGGCCGAGGGGGCGGGGCCGAGCCGAGCCCAGCAGGAGCGCGGAGCCCCGAGCGGUGGGAGGCCGCCGGGCAUUGCCCCCCCCCGCAGCCCCCGCCCGGCGUUCCCGGGCAGGUCUGGAAGAGGAUCCCCGUUUCUAGCGAGAAAGCUGGGUCUCUAAAGAGAUGCUGCCCCUGCCAGACAUAGUUAAGGUGGCCGUGGAGUGGCCUGGGGCCAACGGCCAGUUGCUGGAGUUUGACCAGAAGCGGCCCCUGGUCUCCAUCAUCAAGGAAGUCUGUGACGGAUGGUCCCUGCCUAACCCUGAAUACUACACGCUACGUUAUGCCGAUGGAGCACAGCUGUACAUAACGGAACAGACUCGUGGCGACAUCAAGAAUGGGACCAUCCUCCAGUUGGCGGUUUCUCCAUCCAGGGCCGCCCGCCAACUGAUGGACCGGACCCAGUCCUCCAGCUUGGAGGGCCGCCUGGAGGCCAUGAAGGAACUCGCCAAGCUCUCGGCAGACGUCACCUUUGCCACUGAGUUCAUCAACAUGGAUGGCAUUGCGGUGCUCACCCGGCUGGUGGAGGGCAGCUCCAAGCUCCUCUCUCACUACGGCGAGACGCUGGCCUUCACCCUGACAGCCUUCUUGGAGCUCAUGGACCACGGCCUCAUCUCCUGGGACACCAUCUCCAUCGGCUUCAUCAAGCAGAUCGCAGAGUACGUGAGCCAGCCGACGGUGGACGUCUCCAUCCUGCAGCGCUCCCUGGCCAUCCUGGAGAGCAUGGUGCUGAACAGCCAGGCUCUCUAUCAGAAGAUUGCGGAGGAGAUCACGGUCGGGCAGCUGCUCUCCCACCUCCAAGUCUCCAACCAGGAGAUCCAGACAUAUGCAAUAGCGUUGAUCAAUGCUCUCUUCCUGAAGGCUCCUGAGGAGAAGAGGCAGGACCAGCUUGUUAGUCCGCUAGACCUGCCCUGCACUGAGAUGGCCGAGGCCUCUGCCCAGAAGCAGCUGCGUUCAGCCAUCCUGACGCAUGUCAUCCGAGGGAACCGCCCAAUCAAAACCGAGAUGGCCCACCAGCUGUACGUGCUACAGGUCUUGACUCUCAACCUCCGGGAGGAGCGGAUGAUGACCAAAAUGGACCCCAGUGACCAGGCCCAGCGGGACGUCCUCUUUGAGCUGCGCAGGAUCGCAUUCGAGGCCGAGGCCGAGAGCAGCGGCGUCCCUGGCGGCGGAGCAGAGAAGCGCAAGGCGGUCUACACCAAGGACUACAAGAUGCUGGGCUUCAUGAGCCCUGCCAACCCCGCCCUGGACUUCCUCCAGACCCCGCCAGGCAUGUUGGCCUUGGACAACAUGCUCUACCUGGCCAGACACCAUCAGGAUGCCUACAUCCGAAUUGUCCUGGAGAAUAGCAGUCCGGAGGACAAGCAUGCCUGUCCCUUUGGGCGCAGCGCCAUCGAGCUCACCAGGAUGCUCUGCGAGAUCUUGCAGAUUGGAGAACUUCCCAACGAGGGCCGGAACGACUACCACCCCAUGUUCUUCACGCACGACCAGGCCCUGGAGGAGCUCUUCGCCAUCUGCAUCCAGCUGCUGAACCGGACCUGGAAAGAGAUGCGGGCGACAGGCGAGGACUUCCACAAGGUGAUGCAGGUGGUGAGGGAGCAGAUCACCCGGGCCCUGCCCGCCAGGCCCCCCUCCCUGGACCAGUUCCAGAGCAAGCUGCGGGGGCUGGGGUACUCGGAGGUGCUGCGCUUGCGCCAGUCGGAGCGGAUGAGCCAGGACGACUUCCAGUCCCCACCCAUCGUGGAGCUGCGGGAGAAGAUCCAGCCGGAGAUCCUGGCGCUCAUUAAGCAGCAGCGCCUGAACCGCCUCUGCGAGGGAAGCAGCUUCCGCAAAGUGGGCAACCGGAGGAGGCAAGAGCGCUUCUGGUACUGCCGCCUGGCCCUGAACCACAAGACGCUCCACUACGGGGACCUGGAGGAGAACGCCCAGGGGGGGGCCACCCUGGAGUCGCUGCAGGAGAAGAUCCCCGUGGCAGACAUCAAGGCCGUUCUCACCGGGAAAGAGUGUCCUCACAUGAAGGAGAAGGGGGCGCUGAAGCAGAACAAGGAGGCCCUGGAACUGGCUUUCUCCAUCCUUUAUGAACCGGACGAGACCCUGAACUUUAUCGCACCCAACAAAUACGAGAUCGGUCAGAGUAGAAAUUUUUGAAGAUGUGUUAGAAAUCCCUGCUCUGUGCAUUUGCACCCCCUUGGUGGCCCCCCUUCCGCAGACUUCAUCCCUCAGACUGGACGCCUGCCAGUCGCCGUCUCUGCGCUCCCGGCAGGAGCAGCGCCUUAAAUCCUCCACCACUCGGGCCCUCCUCGCUCAGCGGUUCCCGGGGGGCCCUUGGCUCCUGGCAGUUAAGGAGAAUCUUUCUGGCUCUGUGAACCGGCGGUGGUGCUGGCUGCAGGGCGGAGGAUGUUCUUCCCUGUGUAGCCGCCGCUUUGAGCAAAUGGAGCUCUCUGUGCUCAGGCGCUCGCCCGCUGCUUGCGCGGUCCAGCUCCCAAUGAGCCGCACCCCGGUACCAAGCUGCAUCUCUCGGGUUGGGGACCCCCGAUUUGAAAGUUUCUUUGGGGCUGACAAGCAGGAGGUGGAACGGCAGCCUCUCCAGUCCCUUGUCCUGCCGCACUGAGCUAAUCUGAAAUCUCCGGCAUUAAUAACCUCCCGUGGGUGUAGGGCUGCCUCUUUAAAACAUGCAGGUUGGUGACCAUCAUCAGCCUGGCCGUAAUGAAGACUGCAGGCUAACGGUGUGCAGUUCUGCAUCUGGGUCGACGGGCUCCACGCCUUGCUGGGGAAGGACAUGGCGAGCGAGCUGACCAAGAGCGACCUGGAGACGCUGCUCAGCAUGGAGAUGAAGCUGCGCCUGCUGGACCUGGAGAACGUCCAGAUCCC